ACACCUGAGGAGGAAUAUUCUUUGACAGAAAAACAGAACAGUGAGAAAACGGACCGCAGGGAGGUUUCAGCAUCGAUCGUUCAGCUACCAGGAGAACCCGGACCAUCAGAGACUUUCCUGCAGGAUUCGGUUCCCUUGUAGCCUGGAAUCUGCUUUGGGAUCCUCCAGAAUCUGUUUGUUGGAGAAAAGACUGAGAUUUUUCUCAUGGUUCUGUUACUUCAGCUGAAGAGGAAGAACGAACGACUGCAGAACCAUGAAGUGACUCUGAGAUGAAGCUCAGUGGUGCUGGGACUGGAUUUAAUUAUAUAUAAAUAUAUAUAUAUAUUUUUAAAAACUAAAUAAUGAAGAGUUUGUAUUAACCAGCGUCUGUUGAAUACAGAACAGGUCCUCAUCUACCUCGUUUUUUAUAGAUACUAUGAAGAAUAAACAUUAUUUUCUGUCUUUACACUGGAAGAACAAAUUCAAAUUCUAAAAAUGU
Molecule: long non-coding RNA, 478 nt
Organism: Poecilia latipinna (sailfin molly)
Lineage: Eukaryota; Metazoa; Chordata; Actinopteri; Cyprinodontiformes; Poeciliidae
Exons: 2
Source: RefSeq, a predicted model, not a curated record